RNAcentral lists this unclassified non-coding RNA (435 nucleotides) under uncultured fungus. RNAcentral's name for it is "partial contains 5.8S ribosomal RNA, internal transcribed spacer 2, and large subunit ribosomal RNA". The record is from RNAcentral. Lineage: Eukaryota; Fungi.
AACGCACAUUGCGCUUCUGGGAAUUCCCUGGGAGCAUGCUUGUUUCAGUGUCUGUGGCACCCCUCCAGUGGUCUCCCACUGGGAGUAUGGGCGUCCGGCGCGCACCUUUGGUUGCGCGCUGGUUGUCUGAAGUGCACCCGUAGGCACGCGGCGGGAACCUUCGUGGAUCCCGGUCUGACCCGCGGUAUGUGGUAUGCCAAUAACAGCCCCUGACGCCUGGUGUGGUGGUGCGUCGCGGACCCGGAAGGGCCUGAGUGCAACCCGCCCCAAGCGCCGUCGUGGGUGGCAGUUUCGCGUCGUGGGAGCUGGACUGGUGAACCGGGAAGUCCUGCGUCUUGGUGUGUCGAGGUCGCGCCCCGUGUGCGGCCCACCCCCCUACAAACACAACCCAACACACCAGACCUGAAAUCAAGUAGGAUUACCCGCUGAAUUUAA